RNAcentral lists this ribosomal RNA (1579 nucleotides) under Salmonella enterica. RNAcentral's name for it is "partial 23S ribosomal RNA". It matches the Rfam family "Bacterial large subunit ribosomal RNA", at positions 161 to 1773 of the family's 2925-position model. Lineage: Bacteria; Pseudomonadati; Pseudomonadota; Gammaproteobacteria; Enterobacterales; Enterobacteriaceae. The record is from RNAcentral.
AAUCCAUAGGUUAAUGAGGCGAACCGGGGGAACUGAAACAUCUAAGUACCCCGAGGAAAAGAAAUCAACCGAGAUUCCCCCAGUAGCGGCGAGCGAACGGGGAGGAGCCCAGAGCCUGAAUCAGCAUGUGUGUUAGUGGAAGCGUCUGGAAAGGCGCGCGAUACAGGGUGACAGCCCCGUACACAAAAGCGCAUGUGCUGUGAGCUCGAUGAGUAGGGCGGGACACGUGGUAUCCUGUCUGAAUAUGGGGGGACCAUCCUCCAAGGCUAAAUACUCCUGACUGACCGAUAGUGAACCAGUACCGUGAGGGAAAGGCGAAAAGAACCCCGGCGAGGGGAGUGAAAAAGAACCUGAAACCGUGUACGUACAAGCAGUGGGAGCACAGGUUUACCUGUGUGACUGCGUACCUUUUGUAUAAUGGGUCAGCGACUUAUAUUCUGUAGCAAGGUUAACCGUAUAGGGGAGCCGGAGGGAAACCGAGUCUUAACCGGGCGUUAAGUUGCAGGGUAUAGACCCGAAACCCGGUGAUCUAGCCAUGGGCAGGUUGAAGGUUGGGUAACACUAACUGGAGGACCGAACCGACUAAUGUUGAAAAAUUAGCGGAUGACCUGUGGCUGGGGGUGAAAGGCCAAUCAAACCGGGAGAUAGCUGGUUCUCCCCGAAAGCUAUUUAGGUAGCGCCUCGUGAACUCAUCUCCGGGGGUAGAGCACUGUUUCGGCUAGGGGGCCAUCCCGGCUUACCAACCCGAUGCAAACUGCGAAUACCGGAGAAUGUUAUCACGGGAGACACACGGCGGGUGCUAACGUCCGUCGUGAAGAGGGAAACAACCCAGACCGCCAGCUAAGGUCCCAAAGUCAUGGUUAAGUGGGAAACGAUGUGGGAAGGCCCAGACAGCCAGGAUGUUGGCUUAGAAGCAGCCAUCAUUUAAAGAAAGCGUAAUAGCUCACUGGUCGAGUCGGCCUGCGCGGAAGAUGUAACGGGGCUAAACCAUGCACCGAAGCUGCGGCAGCGACACUGUGUGUUGUUGGGUAGGGGAGCGUUCUGUAAGCCUGUGAAGGUGGCCUGUGAGGGUUGCUGGAGGUAUCAGAAGUGCGAAUGCUGACAUAAGUAACGAUAAAGCGGGUGAAAAGCCCGCUCGCCGGAAGACCAAGGGUUCCUGUCCAACGUUAAUCGGGGCAGGGUGAGUCGACCCCUAAGGCGAGGCCGAAAGGCGUAGUCGAUGGGAAACGGGUUAAUAUUCCCGUACUUGGUGUUACUGCGAAGGGGGGACGGAGAAGGCUAUGUUGGCCGGGCGACGGUUGUCCCGGUUUAAGCGUGUAGGUGUGUGUUCCAGGUAAAUCCGGUUCACUUUAACACUGAGGCGUGAUGACGAGGCACUACGGUGCUGAAGCAACAAAUGCCCUGCUUCCAGGAAAAGCCUCUAAGCAUCAGGUAACACGAAAUCGUACCCCAAACCGACACAGGUGGUCAGGUAGAGAAUACCAAGGCGCUUGAGAGAACUCGGGUGAAGGAACUAGGCAAAAUGGUGCCGUAACUUCGGGAGAAGGCACGCUGACACGUAGGUGAAGUGAUUUACUCA